This is a long non-coding RNA of Rhododendron vialii, 1026 nucleotides long. RefSeq lists it as uncharacterized. NCBI's taxonomy places the organism in Eukaryota, Viridiplantae, Streptophyta, Magnoliopsida, Ericales, Ericaceae. The transcript is spliced from 2 exons. The record is from RefSeq and is a predicted model, not a curated record.
CUUGCAUUGUGAUCAAAAUUGUAUUUCUUUCAGAAUAGCUAAAGUUGAAAUGUUGUGAAAGGGGCAUGGCAAUCAUCCAAACCACCAAAAAAGACACAUGAACCUUCUCAACUUAUCGUUAUAAGAGAGUGAUAUUUGUGGGAUGAUGUAGAACCAACCUCUCUUGGGAAGGACAAAAAUGCUAUUUUGCUACUCAUUCUUAUGAACUGACUGACAGUACCACAACUCCCACCUUUUUCCGAUUAUAAAGAUAUUAACCAACUGUUUUUACAACGUCAAUGUUGGUUUGGAACAGUUACUAUGGUCAAGUGAGAGUUGUUUUCAGUGAAUUUCCUUUUCUGAUAGAGCCAAGAUUUCAGUGGAUUGGUAAAUCAAAUUCCUAUUGGUCGAAGUUGUUACUUAAUUUUUUUUCUGAUCUAUCCAAUUGGCAGUGCUUUUUGAUCGCUAAAUUACAGUGUGUUGGCGGGUGCUUGAUUCUGCUCUCAUGUAAAUGAUGAGGCUAUAUCCACCCCUUUUGGCUUCAUAUAAAUGAAAGCUAGUAUCUCAACAAGCCAUGGAGUAGACUCUUAAGCCCUGACUGGAGGCCAAGGAGAAGAUGAGAGACCAAGAAACACAAGGCCAACAAACCCUGUUCUCCACUCUUGUUUCUCCUACUGAAUUUAGUGCCAUUGUUAGUGUUGAGCGCUGACACAUUGAGCAGAAGUGAAUUCCCACUCCCACCUGACUUUGUCUUCGGUUCAGGAACUUUUGCUUAUCAGCUUAUUUUUUUGUUUUCUUCCAUUUAUUUUAUCCUACUUAUCAGGUUACUAGUAUCAGUAAGUCCAGGAACGCAACUGUGUCCGCAACUCCUUCGAUGUAUGUGGAUCCACGUGCAUCGGAAGCCUCCGGAUGCAGAUGUGUUUUAAAGUUGUAUUCCUAGCAUUGCUCUACUAGUAAACCCUAGCGUACAUUGUUUUGUUCUUUGACUUUUCAUAGUUGCAAUACGGAACAACCCAUUAAUACAAUCUGAUGAAUGUUGGUGUCUUA